Musa acuminata AAA Group (dessert banana) is the source of this 1516-nucleotide long non-coding RNA. RefSeq lists it as uncharacterized. Lineage: Eukaryota; Viridiplantae; Streptophyta; Magnoliopsida; Zingiberales; Musaceae. The record is from RefSeq and is a predicted model, not a curated record. The transcript is spliced from 2 exons.
GAGCAAGCCAGCGUUCUUUGUUUUUUUCGUCUCGUCUCCCUCCCUUCGUCCGUGGAGCUUGGAGGAAGACAAGAAGACGAAGACACUGACGAGGCUUAUAAAUAAUAGGCGAGGGUGGUACGAAGAGCGAGCAAGCGUUGUUUCGUUUUUUUCAUCUCUUCUCCCUCCCUCCAUCUGUGGAGUGUGGAUGAAAACAAGAAGAUGAAGAAGUUGGGAUCUCAGGUUCUUGAUCUCUCCCUCUUAUCUAGUUUUACGAAUAUUUGUUUCCACUGAUUAUUAGCUUUCCGGAUUAGUGGUUCUCAUUUUGGUGAUCAUUGGAUCACCAAAAUCUCAGUGGCCUUGAUCCAAUGAUCAAGUCUUAUUCUAAAAGAAUUGUGCAUCCUCAAGAUCCCAUUCCAAAGUGUAGACGAAGUGAAGUUCUCUUAAAUCUCAUUGGCCUUGAUCUGUCCCUCUCCUUUAGGUUGACGAUCCGGGGUUCUUUCUUUCGAUGGAUCAUUAGAUCCUUAGAUAAAUAGUUCCGAGUUUGGCAAUCUUUGAUGACGAAUGGAUUUUUCGAUUCAUUUUCUAUCAGAACCCUUCUCCACGAGCGAUGGUGAGAUUUCAGGUUCUUUAGUCUCUCUAUUUUAAGUUUACAAGUUGUUUCUUAUAUGUUCGAGGGAUCAUUGAAUCUAUACAUUUACUGUUUUACUCAGUGAUUUUUUAUGGCAAAAUGAGUAAUCUAAUUUUCUCCAAUAAUCCUAUGCUUCGUGAUUCAAUUGUCAAUUGAGGAUUAUCUUAGUUAGGGAUGUCUCUCGUUUUGAUCUUUUACUUUUCGUAUUUUUCCUUUCGUGAUCAUUGGAUUCAAUUGUCGGUCGUUGUGAUUCAAUCGUCGAUUGAGGAAUCGUAAAUGUGGGGUUUGAUUCUUUUGAGGACAUAUUGCACUUCAAGAAAAUUAUCAGAUUAACCAACAGCAUUAGGAAUCCGACUGAAAAGAUGUUUAAAGACUUUUUUUCAUUUAAUAAAUCGUAUCCACAUUAACGUUCUAGUUGAAAUGGUGCAGGAGCAUUCUAAAUUGUAUUUAGAUGUUUCAAAUUGUUAUUUCAUGAAACAUGCUCGAUUCUUCCACUUGCAACACAUAUCACUAGCAUAGUUGGUCACUCCAUGUGAUGCAAAUUAGAUAGGACCACUGGAUAUAAAUGAAGCAGGGGAAGCCACCGGCUCUCGUGGAUGAGGCCUAUGAAUAACAAGCGAGGCGAUGUGUGGAGUAGACAAAAGCUCAUUUCCUUUUCCGUCUUCAGCUCCCUCCCUCCCUCCAUCUGUGGAGUGCGUACGAAGACUAGAAGACGAUGACGUUGGAAUCUCAAGUUCUUGAUAUCUCCCUUUCGUUUAAUCUUGCGGAUGUUUCUUUCCAUGGCUUAUAAGUUUCACAGUUAAAUGGUUCUCGUCUUGGUGAUCCAAUUAUCACGUCUUAUCAUAAACGAAUCAUACAUUUCCAAGAUUUCAUUUCAAAGUAUAGACAAAGAGAAGGUUUCUCUGA